This 486-nucleotide ribosomal RNA is filed under the name uncultured bacterium. Its description in RNAcentral is "bacterial SSU rRNA". It matches the Rfam family "Bacterial small subunit ribosomal RNA", at positions 441 to 919 of the family's 1533-position model. The record is from RNAcentral.
AGAGACGAAUAAGGCAUGGCUAAUAUCCAUGUUGAUGACGGUAUCUCCUUAGCAAGCACCGGCUAACUCUGUGCCAGCAGCCGCGGUAAGACAGAGGGUGCAAACGUUGUUCGGAAUUACUGGGCGUAAAGCGUGUGUAGGCGGUUCUGUAGGUCGGAUGUGAAAGCCCUCGGCUCAACCAAGGAAGUGCAUUCGAAACCCCAGAACUGGAGUGUUGGAGAGGAAGGCGGAAUUGUCGGUGUAGAGGUGAAAUUCGUAGAUAUCGACAGGAACACCUGCGGCGAAAGCGGCCUUCUGGACAAACACUGACGCUGAGACACGAAAGCGUGGGGAGCAAACAGGAUUAGAUACCCUGGUAGUCCACGCCGUAAACGAUGGGUGCUAGAUGUCACGGGCUUUGACCCCUGUGGCGUCGUAGCCAACGCGUUAAGCACCCCGCCUGGGAAGUACGGUCGCAAGACUAAAACUCAAAGGAAUUGACGGGGG